UUGACCUCAAAUCGGGUGAGACUACCCGCUGAACUUAAGCAUAUCAAUUAGCGGAGGAAAAGAAACUAACAAGGAUUCCCCUAGUAACUGCGAGUGAAGCGGGAAAAGCUCAAAUUUAAAAUCUGGUGGCUUCGGCCAUCCGAGUUGUAAUUUAGAGAAGCGUCUUCCGCGCUGGACCGUGCACAAGUCUCCUGGAAUGGAGCGUCAUAGAGGGUGAGAAUCCCGUCUUUGGCACGGACGCACCAGGGCUUCUGCGAUGCGCUCUCGAAGAGUCGAGUUGUUUGGGAAUGCAGCUCAAAAUGGGUGGUGAACUCCAUCUAAAGCUAAAUAUUGGCGAGGGAUGAGAUAGCGAACAAGUACCGUGAGGGAAAGAUGAAAAGCACUUUGGAAAGAGAGUGAAACAGUACGUGAAAUUGUUGAAAGGGAAACGCUUGAAGUCAGUCGCGUCGACCGAGACUCAGCCUUGCCUCGGCUUGGUGUACUUCUCGGC
This 490-nucleotide ribosomal RNA is filed under the name Russula fragilis. RNAcentral describes it as "eukaryotic LSU rRNA". It matches the Rfam family "Eukaryotic large subunit ribosomal RNA", at positions 1 to 490 of the family's 3401-position model. The record is from RNAcentral. Lineage: Eukaryota; Fungi; Basidiomycota; Agaricomycetes; Russulales; Russulaceae.